This 68-nucleotide transfer RNA is filed under the name Phyllomys mantiqueirensis (Mantiqueira Atlantic tree-rat). RNAcentral's name for it is "tRNA-Tyr". It matches the Rfam family "tRNA". From Rfam's summary of the family: Transfer RNA (tRNA) molecules are approximately 80 nucleotides in length. The record is from RNAcentral. Lineage: Eukaryota; Metazoa; Chordata; Mammalia; Rodentia; Echimyidae.
GGUAGAAUGGCUGAUAUAAGCAUUAGACUGUAAAUCUAAAUAUAAAGGUUAUAAUCCUUUUUUUACCA